UACGUAGGGGGCAAGCGUUGUCCGGAAUCAUUGGGCGUAAAGAGCGUGUAGGCGGCCCAGUAAGUCCGCUGUGAAAGUCGGGGGCUCAACCCUCGAAUGCCGGUGGAUACUGUCGGGCUAGAGUGCGGAAGAGGCGAGUGGAAUUCCUGGUGUAGCGGUGAAAUGCGCAGAUAUCAGGAGGAACACCAAUUGCGAAGGCAGCUCGCUGGGACGUAACUGACGCUGAGACGCGAAAGCGUGGGGAGCAAACAGG
This 253-nucleotide ribosomal RNA is filed under the name uncultured bacterium. Its description in RNAcentral is "partial 16S ribosomal RNA". It matches the Rfam family "Bacterial small subunit ribosomal RNA", at positions 524 to 776 of the family's 1533-position model. The record is from RNAcentral.